This 915-nucleotide ribosomal RNA is filed under the name Macrophomina phaseolina. Its description in RNAcentral is "LSU rRNA". It matches the Rfam family "Eukaryotic large subunit ribosomal RNA", at positions 34 to 966 of the family's 3401-position model. The record is from RNAcentral. Lineage: Eukaryota; Fungi; Ascomycota; Dothideomycetes; Botryosphaeriales; Botryosphaeriaceae.
UUAAGCAUAUCAAUAAGCGGAGGAAAAGAAACCAACAGGGAUUGCCUUUAGUAACGGCGAGUGAAGCGGCAACAGCUCAAAUUUGAAAGCUGGCUCCUUCGGAGUCCGCGUUGUAAUUUGUAGAGGAUGAUUCGGCGAGGGCUCCCGCCUAAGUCCCCUGGAACGGGGCGUCAUAGAGGGUGAGAAUCCCGUAUGCGGUGGGUUGCCUUAGCCAUGUGAAUCUCCUUCGACGAGUCGAGUUGUUUGGGAAUGCAGCUCUAAAUGGGAGGUAAAUUUCUUCUAAAGCUAAAUACCGGCCAGAGACCGAUAGCGCACAAGUAGAGUGAUCGAAAGAUGAAAAGCACUUUGGAAAGAGAGUUAAAAAGUACGUGAAAUUGUUGAAAGGGAAGCGCUUGCAGCCAGACUUGUCCGCAGUUGCUCAACCGGUCUCCUGACCGGUGUACUCUUCUGCGGCCAGGCCAGCAUCAGUUCGGGCGGUCGGAUAAAGGCCCUGGGAAUGUAGCUCCUCUCGGGGAGUGUUAUAGCCCAGGGUGGAAUGCGGCCAGCCUGGACUGAGGAUCUCGCUUCGGCUAGGAUGCUGGCGUAAUGGCUGUAAGCGGCCCGUCUUGAAACACGGACCAAGGAGUCUAACAUCUAUGCGAGUGUUUGGGUGUCAAACCCAUGCGCGUAAUGAAAGUGAACGGAGGUGGGAACCCUCACGGGUGCACCAUCGACCGAUCCUGAUGUCUUCGGAUGGAUUUGAGUAAGAGCAUAGCUGUUGGGACCCGAAAGAUGGUGAACUAUGCCUGAAUAGGGUGAAGCCAGAGGAAACUCUGGUGGAGGCUCGCAGCGGUUCUGACGUGCAAAUCGAUCGUCAAAUUUGGGUAUAGGGGCGAAAGACUAAUCGAACCAUCUAGUAGCUGGUUCCUGCCGAAU